GCUUAAAUAAAGAUUGAAACCUAU
Molecule: non-coding RNA, 24 nt
Filed under: Arabidopsis thaliana (thale cress)
Lineage: Eukaryota; Viridiplantae; Streptophyta; Magnoliopsida; Brassicales; Brassicaceae
Source: RNAcentral